AGUGAACGCUGGCGGUAGGCCUAACACAUGCAAGUCGAACGGCAGCACAGUAAGAGCUUGCUCUUACGGGUGGCGAGUGGCGGAUGGGUGAGGAAUACAUCGGAAUCUACUUUUUCGUGGGGGAUAACGUAGGGAAACUUACGCUAAUACCGCAUACGACCUACGGGUGAAAGCAGGGGAUCUUCGGACCUUGCGCGAUUGAAUGAGCCGAUGUCGGAUUAGCUAGUUGGCGGGGUAAAGGCCCACCAAGGCGACGAUCCGUAGCUGGUCUGAGAGGAUGAUCAGCCACACUGGAACUGAGACACGGUCCAGACUCCUACGGGAGGCAGCAGUGGGGAAUAUUGGACAAUGGGCGCAAGCCUGAUCCAGCCAUACCGCGUGGGUGAAGAAGGCCUUCGGGUUGUAAAGCCCUUUUGUUAGGAAAGAAAAGCAGCAGGUUAAUACCCCGCUGUUCUGACGGUACCCAAAGAAUAAGCACCGGCUAACUUCGUG
This 492-nucleotide ribosomal RNA is filed under the name uncultured bacterium. RNAcentral describes it as "partial 16S ribosomal RNA". It matches the Rfam family "Bacterial small subunit ribosomal RNA", at positions 29 to 507 of the family's 1533-position model. The record is from RNAcentral.